RNAcentral lists this ribosomal RNA (253 nucleotides) under uncultured bacterium. Its description in RNAcentral is "partial 16S ribosomal RNA". It matches the Rfam family "Bacterial small subunit ribosomal RNA", at positions 524 to 776 of the family's 1533-position model. The record is from RNAcentral.
GACGAACCGUGCGAACGUUGUUCGGAAUAACUGGGCUUAAAGGGUGCGUAGGCGGGUCCGCCAGUCUGUGGUGAAAUCCUCCCGCUCAACGGGAGAACUGCCGUGGAUACUGCGGACCUCGAGGAAGAUAGGGGCGUGCGGAACAGUUGGUGGAGCGGUGAAAUGCGUUGAUAUCAACUGGAACUCCGGUGGCGAAGGAGGCACGCGGGGUCUUUUUUGACGAUGAGGCACGAAAGCUAGGGGAGCAAACGGG